This 584-nucleotide ribosomal RNA is filed under the name Burkholderia sp. E84. RNAcentral's name for it is "bacterial SSU rRNA". It matches the Rfam family "Bacterial small subunit ribosomal RNA", at positions 26 to 608 of the family's 1533-position model. Lineage: Bacteria; Pseudomonadati; Pseudomonadota; Betaproteobacteria; Burkholderiales; Burkholderiaceae. The record is from RNAcentral.
GAUGAGAUGGUCUCAUGCCNACACAUGCAAGUCGAACGGCAGCACGGGUGCUUGCACCUGGUGGCGAGUGGCGAACGGGUGAGUAAUACAUCGGAACAUGUCCUGUAGUGGGGGAUAGCCCGGCGAAAGCCGGAUUAAUACCGCAUACGAUCUACGGAUGAAAGCGGGGGACCUUCGGGCCUCGCGCUAUAGGGUUGGCCGAUGGCUGAUUAGCUAGUUGGUGGGGUAAAGGCCUACCAAGGCGACGAUCAGUAGCUGGUCUGAGAGGACGACCAGCCACACUGGGACUGAGACACGGCCCAGACUCCUACGGGAGGCAGCAGUGGGGAAUUUUGGACAAUGGGCGAAAGCCUGAUCCAGCAAUGCCGCGUGUGUGAAGAAGGCCUUCGGGUUGUAAAGCACUUUUGUCCGGAAAGAAAUCCUUGGCUCUAAUACAGUCGGGGGAUGACGGUACCGGAAGAAUAAGCACCGGCUAACUACGUGCCAGCAGCCGCGGUAAUACGUAGGGUGCGAGCGUUAAUCGGAAUUACUGGGCGUAAAGCGUGCGCAGGCGGUUUGCUAAGACCGAUGUGAAAUCCCCGGGC